Molecule: long non-coding RNA, 427 nt
Filed under: Hordeum vulgare
Lineage: Eukaryota; Viridiplantae; Streptophyta; Magnoliopsida; Poales; Poaceae
Description: long non-coding RNA (HVUL_LNC005004)
Source: RNAcentral
CCAUUGAUCCAUGAAGUUAUUACAAUCUCUCAGACUUCCAUUUCAAAAUUCAACUCCACAAUCUCAUGAAAACAAGAGUGCUUCAUGUUACACUUAUUGCCAUUGACAAAACUUAACUAGUCCGUUUUAGCUUUCUUCUCCUGUGUAUAUAACGCGGUUGAUGUAGCCGUACUCUUCGCGAUCCGAUCCGAUGUAGCGCCGAACGGACGACACCUCCACAUUCAGCACACGUGCGGCUCGAUGACAUCUCCUCCUUCUUGGUCCAACAAGUAAGGUAGGAGAAGUGGAUGGGAUCUUAACCAACAUGACGACAUCGUGGAUAUUGUGGUGGAGCAAUCCUGGCAGGGCUUCGCCAAACGCUACCAUAGAUGCGAUCUGAGGAGAAAAUGGACUAACGGGAGGGAGAGGGAUCUUGCCGGGGCAUGGG